RNAcentral lists this ribosomal RNA (254 nucleotides) under uncultured bacterium. Its description in RNAcentral is "partial 16S ribosomal RNA". It matches the Rfam family "Bacterial small subunit ribosomal RNA", at positions 524 to 776 of the family's 1533-position model. The record is from RNAcentral.
UACGUAGGGUGCAAGCGUUGUCCGGAAUUAUUGGGCGUAAAGAGCUCGUAGGCGGUUUGUCGCGUCGGCUGUGAAAACCUGGGGCUCAACCCCGGGCCUGCAGCCGAUACGGGCAAACUAGAAUUCGGUAGGGGAGACUGGAAUUCCUGGUGUAGCGGUGAAAUGACGCAGAUAUCAGGAGGAACACCGGUGGCGAAGGCGGGUCUCUGGGCCGCAACUGACGCUGAGGAGCGAAAGCAUGGGGAGCGAACAGG